Molecule: long non-coding RNA, 451 nt
Organism: Panicum virgatum (switchgrass)
Lineage: Eukaryota; Viridiplantae; Streptophyta; Magnoliopsida; Poales; Poaceae
Exons: 2
Source: RefSeq, a predicted model, not a curated record
UGAAGUAUCUAAGGUAGGAGCUGCAUUAGCCGUCCCGAUGCUGAGAUAUUGGAUGAACUCACAACUAAUCGCGGAGAGCUAAAGCACAGAACUUCAAGCCUACGUGAAGAAAGACCGGUUUAGGUUCCUUCAAAUGCCGUUCAGCCAAGCCUGUGAAGAUAGGGAAGUGUUUUUACUGUAGAAAGUGAUGAUCCUCAAGCUGCAGUCCAUUGAGGUGAAUAUUGUUGCCACGUAAUGUACUACUGAUGGUGUUGUACUUGGGCUUUUAACCCAAGCGUAUCUGUGUGGAAGGUGUAAUUUGUAAGGACAGGUAGAUAGCGUAACCUAGGGAGUGAUUGGAAAGAGUAAGAAGAGAGAACAGAUGCAAGAUAGUCUUCGGAUAUGAAAGGGAAAUUGGCUGAACGGAAACAAAGUAGAACCAUAUCAAAUAUCAUUAUUUAAAUAGACCGUA